GACAGAGGAGGCGAGCGUUAUCCGGAGUCAUUGGGCGUAAAGGGUACGUAGGCGGCUAGUCAAGUCUGAGGUUAAAGACCACAGCUUAACUGUGGGAAGGCCUUGGAAACUGACUGGCUAGAGUGGGGCAGGGGUUGCGGGAAUUCCCGGUGUAGCGGUGAAAUGCGUAGAUAUCGGGAAGUACACCUGAGGCGAAAGCGCGCAACUGGGCCCUAACUGACGCUGAGGUACGAAAGCUAGGGGAGCGAAUGGGAUUAGAUACCCCAGUAGUCCUAGCCGUAAACGAUGGACACUAGACGUUGGCCGUACCAACCCGGUCAGUGUCGUAGCUAACGCGUUAAGUGUCCCGCCUGGGGAGUACGCACGCAAGUGUGAAACUCAAAG
RNAcentral lists this ribosomal RNA (384 nucleotides) under uncultured Synechococcus sp. RNAcentral's name for it is "bacterial SSU rRNA". It matches the Rfam family "Bacterial small subunit ribosomal RNA", at positions 524 to 906 of the family's 1533-position model. Lineage: Bacteria; Bacillati; Cyanobacteriota; Cyanophyceae; Synechococcales; Synechococcaceae. The record is from RNAcentral.